Molecule: small nuclear RNA, 22 nt
Filed under: Arabidopsis thaliana (thale cress)
Lineage: Eukaryota; Viridiplantae; Streptophyta; Magnoliopsida; Brassicales; Brassicaceae
Description: snRNA_09214
Source: RNAcentral
CGACCUUGAUCUUCUGAGAAGG